CCAGACUCCUACGGGAGGCAGCAGUGGGGGAUAUUGCACAAUGGGGGAAACCCUGAUGCAGCGACGCCGCGUGGGUGAAGAAGCGCCUCGGCGCGUAAAGCCCUGUCAGCAGGGAAGAAAAUGACGGUACCUGAAGAAGAAGCCCCGGCUAACUACGUGCCAGCAGCCGCGGUAAUACGUAGGGGGCAAGCGUUAUCCGGAUUUACUGGGUGUAAAGGGGGCGCAGACGGCGAUGCAAGCCAGGAGUGAAAGCCCGCGGCUUAACCGCGGAACUGCUUUGGAAACUUUUUUGCUGGAGUACCGGAGAGGUAAGCGGAAUUCCUAGUGUAGCGGUGAAAUGCGUAGAUAUUAGGAGGAACACCAGUGGCGAAGGCGGCUUACUGGACGGUAACUGACGUUGAGGCUCGAAAGCGUGGGGAGCAAACAGGAUUAGAUACCCUAGUAAG
RNAcentral lists this ribosomal RNA (446 nucleotides) under uncultured bacterium. Its description in RNAcentral is "bacterial SSU rRNA". It matches the Rfam family "Bacterial small subunit ribosomal RNA", at positions 331 to 793 of the family's 1533-position model. The record is from RNAcentral.